This 465-nucleotide ribosomal RNA is filed under the name uncultured bacterium. Its description in RNAcentral is "bacterial SSU rRNA". It matches the Rfam family "Bacterial small subunit ribosomal RNA", at positions 338 to 795 of the family's 1533-position model. The record is from RNAcentral.
CCUACGGGACGCACCAGUGGGGGAUAUUGCACAAUGGGCGCAAGCCUGAUGCAGCCAUGCCGCGUGUAUGAAGAAGGCCUUCGGGUUGUAAAGUACUUUCAGCGGGGAGGAAGGGAGUAAAGUUAAUACCUUUGCUCAUUGACGUUACCCGCAGAGGAAGCACCGGCUAACUCCGUGCCAGCAGCCGCGGUAAUACGGAGGGUGCAAGCGUUAAUCGGAAUUACUGGGCGUAAAGCGCACGCAGGCGGUUUGUUAAGUCAGAUGUGAAAUCCCCGGGCUCAACCUGGGAACUGCAUCUGAUACUGGCAAGCUUGAGUCUCGUGGAGGGGGGUAGAAUUCCAGGUGUAGCGGUGAAAUGCGUAGAGAUCUGGAGGAAUACCGGUGGCGAAGGCGGCCCCCUGGACAAAGACUGACGCUCAGGUGCGAAAGCGUGGGGAGCAAACAGGAUUAGAUACCCUCGUAGUC